UAGUGAUGACUGAUAGUGAUGUACUGAUAGUGAUGUACUGAUAGUGAUGACUGAUAGUGAUGACUGAUAGUGAUGACUGAUAGUGAUGUACUGAUAGUGAUGACUGAUAGUGAUGUAAUGAUAGUGAUGUACUGAUAGUGAUGACUGAUAGUGAUGACUGAUAGUGAUGUAAUGAUAGUGAUGACUGAUAGUGAUGUACUGAAAGUGAUGUACUGAUAGUGAUGACUGAUAGUGAUGUACUGAUAGUGAUGACUGAUAGUGAUGACUGAUAGUGAUGUACUGAUAGUGAUGUACUGAUAGUGAUGUACUGAUAGUGAUGUACUGAUAGUGAUGACUGAUAGUGAUGUACUGAUAGUAAAUCUUGCUCCCCAGAACUGUGCUGUUAUGUCAGAUGAAGAGCUGAAUGAUGACCUUUAGCACAGUAAGCAGGAGGCCCAAACUAAGAGGUUAGAUUAACUUUUUCCCCCAUCUACAGUCAGUGGUAAAGGUGAGUGGUUAGUUUAAAGUUAGCUUUUUGAUGUCCCAGAGAGCUUCUGGAUGAGAACAAGGUCAGAGUAAACACGAUGUGUUAUCUACUCCUGACAAAUCAGAAAACAGGGAUUACGUGACUGUGUUGACCAACAUCCUUUUGGAAAGCUUAGAACCAGCUUGGCACCACAAGAGCAUGCCUGAACAGUUUUCACAUGGAUUAAUAGUAUUUUGGGGGGAAGCUAGUGUACAUCACUGGAGUUGAAUUACAGCAUAAUGAAAAGUGGUCAGUGGUGUUCUCCCUCUUCUAGCCAUGGCCUAACAGUAGGCCUAAGCAUUGAUGCCAUAGCCAACCUUAGGUCUUCAUAGGACCCACAUACUAGAUGUCUAUGUGAACUGGGGACUGAAGAUGGGGGAUUCCAGAAAGUGCAGAAGAAUAUUGAGAUGUGAGAACGAUGAGGCAGAGGUGGAUGGAGACCAAACUACACACUGAAGGACAAAACGUCCAAGCCAGAGAGAAGCCCACAUAGAUGACAUCAAAAUCAAUGACUCUCAAGCUUGUUUGACAGAAACUGACGUUCCACUGUUAUCCUUCUUGGUGCGUUCUGCACUGACCUUGGGAGCUGAAGCCCUUUGGAGAGAGAUGCAUUGUGCUGCAGAGAUCCACUGCCAAUUACCAGUGACAGUGACCACCUGAGGGCAGAAAACACCACAACCACAGGAGCUGGAAUGCCAAACAGUGAGAACCCCAGAACCUCCUACAUUAACAUGUAUUGUAAAACUUACAGGAGGAAAUGCAAUUUGAAUUGUUCAUCUCACCUCUCUCAAUGAGUGUCUCAA
This 1308-nucleotide long non-coding RNA is filed under the name Salmo salar (Atlantic salmon). RNAcentral's name for it is "lncRNA (ENSSSAG00000110396.1)". Lineage: Eukaryota; Metazoa; Chordata; Actinopteri; Salmoniformes; Salmonidae. The record is from RNAcentral.